UACGAAGGGGGCUAGCGUUGCUCGGAAUCACUGGGCGUAAAGGGUGCGUAGGCGGGUCUUUAAGUCAGGGGUGAAAUCCUGGAGCUCAACUCCAGAACUGCCUUCGAUACUGGCGAUCUCGAGUUCGGGAGAGGUGAGUGGAACUGCGAGUGUAGAGGUGAAAUUCGUAGAUAUUCGCAAGAACACCAGUGGCGAAGGCGGCUCACUGGCCCGAUACUGACGCUGAGGUGCGAAAGCGUGGGGAGCAAACAGG
RNAcentral lists this ribosomal RNA (253 nucleotides) under uncultured bacterium. RNAcentral describes it as "partial 16S ribosomal RNA". It matches the Rfam family "Bacterial small subunit ribosomal RNA", at positions 524 to 776 of the family's 1533-position model. The record is from RNAcentral.